Molecule: ribosomal RNA, 460 nt
Filed under: uncultured bacterium
Lineage: Bacteria
Description: partial 16S ribosomal RNA
Rfam family: Bacterial small subunit ribosomal RNA
Source: RNAcentral
CCUACGGGCGGCAGCAGUGAGGAAUAUUGGUCAAUGGCCGAGAGUCUGAACCAGCCAAGCCGCGUGAGGGAUGAAGGCCCUAAGGGUUGUAAACCUCUUUUAUAAAGGAAUAAAACGAGGCACGUGUGCCUUUCUGCAUGUACUUUAUGAAUAAGGAUCGGCUAACUCCGUGCCAGCAGCCGCGGUAAUACGGAGGAUCCGAGCGUUAUCCGGAUUUAUUGGGUUUAAAGGGUGCGUAGAUGGGUUGUUAAGUCCGUUGUGAAAGUAUGCGGCUCAGCCGUAACAUGGCAAUUGAUACUGGCAGUCUUGAGUACAGUUGAGGUAGGCGGAAUUCGUGGUGUAGCGGUGAAAUGCUUAGAUAUCACGAAGAACCCCGAUUGCGAAGGCAGCUUACUAAACUGUGACUGACAUUGAUGCUCGAAAGUGUGGGUAUCAAACAGGAUUAGAUACCCCAGUAGUC